CUAAGGGAGGCAGCAGUGGGGAAUAUUGGACAAUGGGCGAAAGCCUGAUCCAGCCAUGCCGCGUGUGUGAAGAAGGCCUUCGGGUUGUAAAGCACUUUCAGUGGGGAAGAAAGCCUUGGGGCUAAUACCCUCGAGGAAGGACAUCACCCACAGAAGAAGCACCGGCUAACUCCGUGCCAGCAGCCGCGGUAAUACGGAGGGUGCGAGCGUUAAUCGGAAUUACUGGGCGUAAAGCGCGCGUAGGCGGUCUGAUAAGCCGGUUGUGAAAGCCCCGGGCUCAACCUGGGAACGGCAUCCGGAACUGUCAGGCUAGAGUGCAGGAGAGGAAGGUAGAAUUCCCGGUGUAGCGGUGAAAUGCGUAGAGAUCGGGAGGAAUACCAGUGGCGAAGGCGGCCUUCUGGACUGACACUGACGCUGAGGUGCGAAAGCGUGGGUAGCAAACAGGAUUAGAUACCCGAGUAGUC
This 464-nucleotide ribosomal RNA is filed under the name Vreelandella stevensii. Its description in RNAcentral is "partial 16S ribosomal RNA". It matches the Rfam family "Bacterial small subunit ribosomal RNA", at positions 339 to 795 of the family's 1533-position model. The record is from RNAcentral. Lineage: Bacteria; Pseudomonadati; Pseudomonadota; Gammaproteobacteria; Oceanospirillales; Halomonadaceae.